UGCGUAACACGUGAGUCAUCUGCCUGAAAGUGGGGGAUAGCUCGCCGAAAGGCGAAUUAAUACCGCAUGUGCCCCGAAGCAAUUCGGGGCAAAGCCGGGGCAACCUGGCGCUUUUAGAUGAGCUCGCGGCCUAUCAGCUUGUUGGUAAGGUAACGGCCCACCAAGGCUAAGACGGGUAGCUGGUCUGAGAGGACGACCAGCCACACUGGAACUGAGACACGGUCCAGACACCUACGGGUGGCAGCAGUCGAGAAUUUUUCACAAUGGGCGAAAGCCUGAUGGAGCGACGCCGCGUGGGGGAUGAAUGGCUUCGGCCCGUAAACCCCUGUCAUUCGCGAACAAACCUCCGGCAUGAAUAGUGUCGGAGUUGAUGGUAGCGGAAGAGGAAGGGACGGCUAACUCUGUGCCAGCAGCCGCGGUAAUACAGAGGUCCCAAGCGUUGUUCGGAUUCACUGGGCGUAAAGGGUGCGUAGGUGGUCGGGUAAGUUUGAGGUGAAAGCUCCGGGCUCAACCCGGAAAUGGCCUUGAAUACUAUCCGGCUCGAGGGUUGGAGGGGGGACUGGAAUUCUCGGUGUAGCA
RNAcentral lists this ribosomal RNA (579 nucleotides) under uncultured Verrucomicrobiota bacterium. Its description in RNAcentral is "bacterial SSU rRNA". It matches the Rfam family "Bacterial small subunit ribosomal RNA", at positions 107 to 680 of the family's 1533-position model. Lineage: Bacteria; Pseudomonadati; Verrucomicrobiota. The record is from RNAcentral.